AGCGAACGCUGGCGGCAGGCCUAACACAUGCAAGUCGAGCGGCCGUAGCAAUACGGCAGCGGCAGACGGGAUAGUAACACGUGGGAACGCGCCCUUCGGUUCGGAAUAACUCAGGGAAACUUGAGCUAAUACCGGAUACGCCUUACGGGGAAGAUUAUUGCCGAAGGAACGGCCCGCGUCGGAUUAGCUAGUUGGUGAGGUAAUGGCUCACCAAGGCGACGAUCCGUAGCUGGUCUGAGAGGAUGAUCAGCCACAUUGGGACUGAGACACAGCCCAAACU
RNAcentral lists this ribosomal RNA (280 nucleotides) under uncultured bacterium. Its description in RNAcentral is "partial 16S ribosomal RNA". It matches the Rfam family "Bacterial small subunit ribosomal RNA", at positions 29 to 337 of the family's 1533-position model. The record is from RNAcentral.